This 1123-nucleotide long non-coding RNA is filed under the name Ursus maritimus (polar bear). RNAcentral describes it as "lncRNA (ENSUMAG00000001847.1)". The record is from RNAcentral. Lineage: Eukaryota; Metazoa; Chordata; Mammalia; Carnivora; Ursidae.
GCGUGACGUCAGCACGUAGACGCGGCUUCCUAGAUGAGGUGGAGCGCCGCUUGGCGACCUGCCGGGUUCCUAAAGGAAGUUUCAGGUGCGCUCACUUGGCUUAGCCUUGGACUUGUAGAUAGGAGGGAACGGAGUACGAAGAGAAAGACCAACAUCUAUUGAUUCCUUUCCCUUACCAAGCAUCUUGCUAGGAACUGUGAAGAAGACGACCCUCAUAAUCAGACACAAAAAGAAAUCAACGUUUAUACCACAGUGCAAUUAAGUGUUAUGUUAGAGAAAUCCACCAGGUAGGUGUUGUGGAAAUCUAGAACCCCCUUUAACCCGAUAGAAGAGCCAAGGAAGAAGCGAAGAGAGAAGUGUAACAUAUUCCAGUAUUUGAGUUAGUAGAGUUAGAAGGAGGAGGUGGGGAAGCCAGAGGAACAAAUAGGCCACAACUGAAAGGGCCAUGUUUGGCAUGUUUACAGGUUAGAGAUUCAUCUUGGAAGUAGCAGGACACAAUUGGAUUCCGUAGUGACACUUUGAGAUAUCGUAUAUGAGGAACCUGUGCAGGAAGCUGCAGUGGAUCAUAGACCUUCAUCUAGUUUCCAAUCUAGAUAAUCUUCGGACAUGGUCAUGUCCAAGGUAAGGAGCCAACCCAAGGUAGGGAGCCAACCCAACAGAGUAUUAGGAUCAGAUCCUGGUGUCUAUGGAAUAGUCCCAAGCCACUGAUGAGUGGUUUAAUGUCAGUUCUCCCUUAUCCAGCUUAAAUUUUACACUUUCGGUCCAAUAAUAUCGGAUACACUUCACAUGUUAGCCAGGAUCAGCGAUUCCCUUGGUGUCUAUGUUGUUAGUUCCAAGAGGAAAAGUAUAUGUCCUUGCCAACUGUGGCAGCAUGUUUUUUGGUAAAAUGUAUGCUUAAUCUUGAUUGUCGCACUACUACAUUAAGAAAAAACAUACUACCAGAGGAGGCACACUUGUAACUUUAUUUUUAUGGGUGAACCUAUAAAACCCAAUAUGUAUAUGUGUGUGUGCAUGCGCGUGCAUGCACAGAAUCACCAUCAAUGUGACAGCUACAUAUUUAGAUUAACAUAGAUGAGUUGUAUUGGCACUUCAAACAUCAAGAUUAACAUAGCUAUUAAUGAUG